UACGUAGGGUGCAAGCGUUGUCCGGAAUCCUUGGGCGUAAAGCGCGCGUAGGUGGCUUCGUAAGUCCGUUGUGAAAGUCAAAGGCUCAACCUUUGAAUGCCGAUGGAUACUGCGAAGCUAGAGUACGGAAGAGGCGAGUGGAAUUCCUGGUGUAGCGGUGGAAUGCGCAGAUAUCAGGAGGAACACCAAUAGCGAAGGCAGCUCGCUGGGACGUUACUGACACUAAGGCGCGAAAGCGUGGGGAGCGAACAGG
This 253-nucleotide ribosomal RNA is filed under the name uncultured bacterium. RNAcentral describes it as "partial 16S ribosomal RNA". It matches the Rfam family "Bacterial small subunit ribosomal RNA", at positions 524 to 776 of the family's 1533-position model. The record is from RNAcentral.